RNAcentral lists this ribosomal RNA (583 nucleotides) under uncultured Acidobacteriota bacterium. RNAcentral's name for it is "bacterial SSU rRNA". It matches the Rfam family "Bacterial small subunit ribosomal RNA", at positions 9 to 582 of the family's 1533-position model. Lineage: Bacteria; Pseudomonadati; Acidobacteriota. The record is from RNAcentral.
GAGUUUGAUCCUGGCUCAGAAUCAACGCUGGCGGCGUGCCUAACACAUGCAAGUCGAGCGAGAAAGGGGACUUCGGUCCCUGAGUAGAGCGGCGGACGGGUGAGUAACACGUGGGUCAUCUACCCUCGGGUGGGGAAUAACUCAGGGAAACCUGGGCUAAUUCCGCAUAACAUCGCAAGAUCAAAGCUGGGGAUCCUUCGGGACCUGGCGCCUGAGGAGGAGCCCGCGGCCAAUUAGCUUGUUGGUGAGGUAAUGGCUCACCAAGGCUUCGAUUGGUAGCCGGCCUGAGAGGGCGGACGGCCACACUGGGACUGAGACACGGCCCAGACUCCUACGGGAGGCAGCAGUGGGGAAUUUUUGUCAAUGGGGGCAACCCUGAACAAGCAACGCCGCGUGAAGGACGAAGACCUUCGGGUUGUAAACUUCUGUCGGAGGGGACGAAGGCGGUAUUGGUUAAUACCCAGUAUCGUUGACGGUACCCUACGAGGAAGCCCCGGCUAACUCCGUGCCAGCAGCCGCGGUAAUACGGGGGGGGCAAGCGUUGUUCGGAUUUACUGGGCGUAAAGGGCGCGCAGGCGGGCGA